RNAcentral lists this ribosomal RNA (1359 nucleotides) under uncultured bacterium. RNAcentral describes it as "bacterial SSU rRNA". It matches the Rfam family "Bacterial small subunit ribosomal RNA", at positions 18 to 1395 of the family's 1533-position model. The record is from RNAcentral.
CCUGGCUCAGGACGAACGCUGGCGGCGCGCNUAACACAUGCAAGUCGAACGGAGCUAUAUUGAAAGCUUACUGGAUAUAUAGCUAGUGGCGGACGGGUGAGUAACACGUGAGCAACCUGCCUUUCAGAGUGGAAUAACGUUUGGAAACGAACGCUAAUACCGCAUAAUGUCAGAGGACGGCAUCGUCUUUUGACCAAAGAUUUAUCGCUGAAAGAUGGGCUCGCGGCCGAUUAGGUAGUUGGUGAGAUAAUAGCCCACCAAGCCGACGAUCGGUAGCCGGACUGAGAGGUUGAACGGCCACAUUGGGACUGAGACACGGCCCAGACUCCUACGGGAGGCAGCAGUGGGGGAUAUUGCACAAUGGGGGAAACCCUGAUGCAGCGACGCCGCGUGAGGGAAGACGGCCUUCGGGUUGUAAACCUCUGUCUUCGGGGACGAAUAAAUGACGGUACCCGAGGAGGAAGCCACGGCUAACUACGUGCCAGCAGCCGCGGUAAUACGUAGGUGGCAAGCGUUGUCCGGAAUUACUGGGUGUAAAGGGAGCGUAGGCGGGGAGGCAAGUUGAAUGUCUAAACUAUCGGCUCAACUGAUAGUCGCGUUCAAAACUGCCACUCUUGAGUGCAGUAGAGGUAGGCGGAAUUCCUAGUGUAGCGGUGAAAUGCGUAGAUAUUAGGAGGAACACCAGUGGCGAAGGCGGCCUACUGGGCUGUAACUGACGCUGAGGCUCGAAAGCGUGGGUAGCAAACAGGAUUAGAUACCCUGGUAGUCCACGCCGUAAACGAUGAUUACUAGGUGUGGGGGGACUGACCCCUUCCGUGCCGGAGUUAACACAAUAAGUAAUCCACCUGGGGAGUACGGCCGCAAGGCUGAAACUCAAAGGAAUUGACGGGGGCCCGCACAAGCAGUGGAGUAUGUGGUUUAAUUCGAAGCAACGCGAAGAACCUUACCAGGUCUUGACAUCGAGUGACGAACUUAGAGAUAAGUUCUUCCUUCGGGACACGAAGACAGGUGGUGCAUGGUUGUCGUCAGCUCGUGUCGAGAGAUGUUGGGUUAAGUCCCGCAACGAGCGCAACCCUUAUCAUUAGUUGCUACGCAAGAGCACUCUAAUGAGACUGCCGUUGAUAAAACGGAGGAAGGUGGGGAUGACGUCAAAUCAUCAUGCCCCUUAUGACCUGGGCUACACACGUACUACAAUGGUGUCAAACAGAGGGAAGCAACACAGCGAUGUGAAGCAGAACCCGAAAAAUCAUCUCAGUUCAGAUUGCAGGCUGCAACUCGCCUGCAUGAAGUCGGAAUUGCUAGUAAUCGCGGAUCAGCAUGCCGCGGUGAAUACGUUCCCGGGCCUUGUACACACCGCCC